GCCACGAGUAAAUCCCAACAAAUUGAAUGGCUUUGCAAGUGGAAGAAGCAGCAGGAAUAGAACCACCAUGAUAGUUGUUUACAAUGAUGACAAGAAACAACAAACAAGAACAAUUUCACAUUCUCCUUGUCAAGAGAAAAAGCGCAGUAAUCAAUUGCCACAACCAUAUAUGUGUUGGUGAAUGGUCUUAUAGAAAUGUUUUCUGAUUUAAA
This 212-nucleotide unclassified non-coding RNA is filed under the name Hevea brasiliensis (rubber tree). The record is from RNAcentral. Lineage: Eukaryota; Viridiplantae; Streptophyta; Magnoliopsida; Malpighiales; Euphorbiaceae.